GCUCAACUCACAGAGUUCGUCUUCGGAUAAUCUAGUUUCCAAAGAGAGAAAAAAGAGUUAUUUAUUUAUAAAUUGCUAUGGUGCUUGAGCUGUGCUAAAGUUUAUUCCGUUGCAUGGUAGAUUUUGUGAUCUAAGAAAGAUGUCCGUUUUCUUUGUGAAUGCAAAUCAAGACAGCGAAGUUGAAGGAGAUUCAAAUGGAGACCUGCAAAUUGCAUCACCUGGGAACUCGGAGGCCCAACAAGCGUUGGCAUCAUUUUGGCCGAAAGUCAUGGAAGAAAUUAAAAAGAUUACCACAAUGGAUUUGAAAACCCAAUCGUUACCACUAGCAAGGAUAAAGAAAAUUAUGAAAUUGGACGGUGACGUUAAAAUGAUCAGUGCCGAAGCACCGAUGUUAUUUUCGAAAGCAGCCGAGAUUUUUAUUCACGAAUUAACGCUGAGAGCUUGGGUUCAUACGGAAGACAAUAAAAGGCGCACCCUUCAAAGAAAUGAUAUAGCAAUGGCAAUAACAAAAUACGAUCAGUUUGAUUUCUUAAUUGAUAUUGUCCCAAGGGACGAACUGAAACAGACGAAGGCACAGUCAGAUGGUACGUCGAGAUCUCCAAUGAAUACGGAUCAGGUUCAUUAUUAUUUUCAACUGGCACAGCAGCAAGCUUCGGCCAAUCAAACUGUACAAAAUAAUAGUACACCUUCCCAGCCAAUACAAAUUGUACAACCUUCUACCGGACAAAUACAAACUAUUAAUAUUGGAAGCCCUAACGAACAGGAAACCUCCAAUGCAGGAGCCACUCAAACAGUAACAGUACAAAGCCCACAGCAGGCAUCGGGUCAGCAAGUUAUUCAACUCCAGCAAGCCCAGCAAUCCCCCGCUUCCCAAGCUGGUGGUAUACAAAUCGUGCAACAAAUUGUGACCCCUAACGGAGAGAUACAACAAAUACCUAUACAAUUAACGCCACAACAGCUUCAAAUGAUUCGUAUGCAAGUGCAAGGAGGAAGCAAUCAACCGAUCAUAAUUCAGGCCGCACCGAUCCAAGCACAACCACAAUUGAUCCAGGUUGCCCAGGGUGGUCAGACUCCAGUGUUUCUACAAACCAGCAGUAACGAUAACGAAUAAUUUAGACCGACUAGAGUGACGAAUGCGAAAGCCUCUCUGCAAGCAUGAAUGAGAAUACUACGUCUAAGACUAUACGACCAUGUCCAUCGGUUGCCUGAUUCGAUCCUUGAUACAAUUCCAUCGUUCUGUGGGAACUGAUCAUCCUGUAGCGUCUUUUUUUUUAUGGAAGACCAGGUCUCCUACGUUCUGAAAUUAAUCCCGACAUCCUGGUCGUUGUCACGUCACAAGUGCAUCGACGAAUCAGGCUCUCGGGCUUCUCAUCCCUCCGGAGAAGACUCCAAACUGUCUCCGGUGGAGAGACGUGGCCAGUGUAUCGUCAUUGAAGCGAAGUGAAGUGAACUGAAGUGAGGUAAAGUGAAGAAUAAAGAUAAGCGGCCAACGCAAGAUGUAAUCUGAUUCGUGCGUCGCGUUCUUCGGCCGCUGGUUGCUUCGCAUGGCUGAGCUCGGGGCUGGCUGGUGCAACUUGUAUUAUGUUUCACGUAGCUGCGGUUCUUGUCUGGCGAGUCCCGGUCCCCGAGCCUUCAACAGCUUCGAAAUCUCGAACAAUAAUUAUGCCUCGAGAUUUUACUAGACGCAGGCGACCUGGACGUGGAACUCCAUGGGUCACCUGCUUCACUCCAGGGCACCCCGUAGAAUAACGCGCAAUAAUUGCACCGUCCUGUGGCCAUAACUUAAAUCCACAUCCAGUGCUCAUCCCAAUGUUACAAGAGUAUCUAACCAUCAUUAAAAUCCAAAAGUGUUUGCUGACAAUUUCCAGUACAGGCAGGAAAUUUUUAGUUAUUACUUUCAAGUGUUUGUAAAUGUAUCGGCACUACUUAAAUUCACAACCGCUGCUCGUUUUAAUAUUAAAACCGCAACCGCCUUUAAAAUCAAACCAAACUUGUUCAGUAACAAUUCAAGUCGCAGCCAGCAUAAUUUUUCUUAUCUGAUUCAAUUCUCCCCGGGAUUAUUUAUCGGACAUAUUAGCGGAAAAAAAUAAAAAACGCCUCGAGCACGCGAGUCGGGGAUUCGCGGUUAACUCGCUUUUUACC
This is an RNA transcript of Orussus abietinus, 2142 nucleotides long. It is a transcript of the gene named nuclear transcription factor Y subunit gamma, with no coding region annotated. The record is from RefSeq and is a predicted model, not a curated record. The transcript has 6 exons. NCBI's taxonomy places the organism in Eukaryota, Metazoa, Arthropoda, Insecta, Hymenoptera, Orussidae.